ACGAACGCUGGCGGCAUGCCUAACCCAUGCAAGUCGAACGAACCCUUCGGGGUUAGUGGCGCACGGGUGCGUAACGCGUGGGAAUCCGCCCUUUGCUUCGGAAUAACUCAGGGAAACUUGUGCUAAUACCGGAUGAUGUCUUCGGACCAAAGAUUUAUCGGCAAGGGAUGAGCCCGCGUAGGAUUAGGUAGUUGGUGGGGUAAAGGCCUACCAAGCCGACGAUCCUUAGCUCGUCUGAGAGGAUGAUCAGCCACACUGGGACUGAGACACGGCCCAGACUCCUACGGAAGGCAGCAGUGGGGAAUAUUGGACAAUGGGCGCAAGCCUGAUCCAGCAAGGCCGCGUGAGUGAUGAAGGCCCUCGGGACGUAAAGCUCUUUUACCAGGGAUGAUAAUGACAGUACCUGGAGAAUAAGCUCCGGCUAACUCCGUG
Molecule: ribosomal RNA, 432 nt
Filed under: uncultured bacterium
Lineage: Bacteria
Description: partial 16S ribosomal RNA
Rfam family: Bacterial small subunit ribosomal RNA
Source: RNAcentral